RNAcentral lists this non-coding RNA (824 nucleotides) under Lissocarcinus arkati. The record is from RNAcentral. Lineage: Eukaryota; Metazoa; Arthropoda; Malacostraca; Decapoda; Portunidae.
GUAAAGUUUGAUUCUUUCUUGGGUUUUUAUGAUAUUACUGAGGUUGUAUGAGGGUUGUAGCGAGUAUUUUUAAUGGAGUUAAAUGCAACAUUAUAACGGUAAUUUAAUUAUAAAUGAUAAAAUAUUAAUUCUCAGCAUAGGAUAUUAAAGAAUGCAUUAAGAUGUGAUUUAGCAGUAAGUUUAAGCCUGAUAAAAUAUUGUGCCAGCAGUCGCGGUUAGACUUUAAGGUUAAGUAAAAAUAUAUUGGUUUUAGUUAUAUAUUUUAGUUGAAAAAAAAUUGAAGAAAUAAAAGGUGGAAUUAGGUUGUUUUUAUUCAUAAAUAUAAAACUGGAGUUGAAGCUAAAAAUUUUUAGAUUUAAACUAGGAUUAGAUACCCUACUAUACUAAAGAGUAAAGAGAGUGAACCAGAUUAUUAAUAGAUAUGUUCUUUAAAUUUAAAGAAUUUGGCGGUGAUUUAGUCUUGUCAGAGGAACCUGUUUUUGAAUCGACAAUCCACGUGGGAUCUUACUUGUCUUUGUUUUCAGUUUAUAUACCGUCAUUAACAGACAAUUUUUAAAGAAUAAAUUGUUAAAAUUUAUAAUGUUAAAGAAAAUUAGAUCAAGGUGUAGCUUAUGGACAAGUUAAAAUGGGUUACAAUAAAUUAUAUUUAUGAACGGAAUAAUUAAGGAAGAAGUAAUUAAUAAGGAGGAUUUGAUUGUAAUAUAAGUUUAAUAUGCUUAGGAGAGAUAAGCUCUAAAUCAUGUACAUAUCGCCCGUCGCUUUCAUUAGACAAAUGAGAUAAGUCGUAACAUAGUAGGCUUACCGGAAGGUAAGCCUAGUUUGAG